This is a transfer RNA of Blastocystis hominis, 82 nucleotides long. It matches the Rfam family "tRNA". From Rfam's summary of the family: Transfer RNA (tRNA) molecules are approximately 80 nucleotides in length. Their secondary structure includes four short double-helical elements and three loops (D, anti-codon, and T loops). Further hydrogen bonds mediate the characteristic L-shaped molecular structure. tRNAs have two regions of fundamental functional importance: the anti-codon, which is responsible for specific mRNA codon recognition, and the 3' end, to which the tRNAs corresponding amino acid is attached (by aminoacyl-tRNA synthetases). tRNAs cope with the degeneracy of the genetic code in two manners: having more than one tRNA (with a specific anti-codon) for a particular amino acid; and 'wobble' base-pairing, i.e. permitting non-standard base-pairing at the 3rd anti-codon position. Lineage: Eukaryota; Bigyra; Opalinata; Blastocystidae. The record is from Rfam.
GCAAGCGUGACCGAGUGGUCCAAGGUGCUACGUUCAGGUCGUAGUGUGUUCGCACGCGUGGGUUCGAGUCCCACCGCUUGCA